CGAACGGGUGAGUAAUGCGUGACCAACCUGCCCCAUGCUCCAGAAUAGCUCUUGGAAACGGGUGGUAAUGCUGGAUGCUCCAACUUGACGCAUGUCUUGUUGGGAAAGUGUUUAGUGGCGUGGGAUGGGGUCGCGUCCUAUCAGCUUGUAGGCGGGGUAAUGGCCCACCUAGGCUUCGACGGGUAGCCGGCCUGAGAGGGCGGACGGCCACAUUGGGACUGAGAUACGGCCCAGACUCCUACGGGAGGCAGCAGAA
This 256-nucleotide ribosomal RNA is filed under the name uncultured Gardnerella sp. Its description in RNAcentral is "partial 16S ribosomal RNA". It matches the Rfam family "Bacterial small subunit ribosomal RNA", at positions 99 to 354 of the family's 1533-position model. Lineage: Bacteria; Bacillati; Actinomycetota; Actinomycetes; Bifidobacteriales; Bifidobacteriaceae. The record is from RNAcentral.